CUUGGUCAUUUAGAGGAAGUAAAAGUCGUAACAAGGUUUCCGUAGGUGAACCUGCGGAAGGAUCAUUAUUGAAGGGGAAAAAAACUUCCCCAAAAAGGAUGUAGGCCAGCCUAAAUUUGGCUGGCACACACUGGCUAUGAAACCCUUGUCUAUAAGUACUCUUGUUUCCUCGGCAGGCUUGCCUGCCAAUGGGGACCCUAAUCAAUCUUUCAAUAUUGUUGUAACCGUAACCAAACAAGUAAUCAAAACUUUCAACAACGGAUCUCUUGGUUCUGGCAUCGAUGAAGAACGCAGCGAAAUGCGAUAAGUAGUGUGAAUUGCAGAAUUCAGUGAAUCAUCGAAUCUUUGAACGCACAUUGCGCCCUGUGGUAUUCCGCAGGGCAUGCCUGUUCGAGCGUCAUUUAACCCCCUCAAGCUCUGCUUGGUGUUGGGCGUUUGUCCUACCUUUUGGCAUGGACUCGCCUUAAAAUUAUUGGCAGCCACCCUUUUUGGCUUCGAGCGCAGCACUAUUGCGUCCAGUCUUUAGGAGUGUAGUUACCCAGAAGCCCUUUCUUUCGGUUGACCUCGGAUCAGGUAGGGAUACCCGCUGAACUUAAGCAUAUCAAUAAGCGGAGGA
RNAcentral lists this ribosomal RNA (616 nucleotides) under uncultured fungus. RNAcentral describes it as "eukaryotic LSU rRNA". The stretch from base 247 to 400 matches the Rfam family "5.8S ribosomal RNA". The record is from RNAcentral. Lineage: Eukaryota; Fungi.